Molecule: ribosomal RNA, 462 nt
Filed under: uncultured bacterium
Lineage: Bacteria
Description: partial 16S ribosomal RNA
Rfam family: Bacterial small subunit ribosomal RNA
Source: RNAcentral
AAUGAACGUUGGCGGCAUGGAUUAGGCAUGCAAGUCGGGGGAAUCCCAGCAAUGGGGGAACCGGCGUAAGGGGCAGUAAGGCAUGGGUACCUACCUUGGGGUUCGGGAUAGCCAUCAGAGAUGGUGGGUAAUACCGGAUGACGUCGUGAGACCAAAGAUUUAUCGCCCCUAGAGGGGCCCAGGUGAUAUUAGCUAGUUGGUGGGGUAACGGCCCACCAAGGCGAAGAUGUCUAGCGGGUGUGAGAGCACGACCCGCGCCACUCGCACUGAGACACUGGCGGAACACCUACGGGUGGCUGCAGUCGAGGAUCUUCGGCAAUGAGCGCAAGCUUGACCGAGCGAUGCCGCGUGAGCGAUGAAGGCCUUCGGGUUGUAAAGCUCUUUAGUGGGGGAGAAAAGCCGCAAGGUGUGAUCUAUCCCAAAAAUAAGCACGGGCUAAGUUCGUGCCAGCAGCCGCCGUAA